This 76-nucleotide transfer RNA is filed under the name bacterium. RNAcentral's name for it is "tRNA-Thr". It matches the Rfam family "tRNA". From Rfam's summary of the family: Transfer RNA (tRNA) molecules are approximately 80 nucleotides in length. Their secondary structure includes four short double-helical elements and three loops (D, anti-codon, and T loops). RNAcentral also lists the same sequence under 2 other names. The record is from RNAcentral.
GCCGCCUUAGCUCAGUUGGUAGAGCAACCCCUUCGUAAGGGGUAGGUCCUCAGUUCAAAUCUGAGAGGCGGCUCCA